AGUUUGCGAUUGGAAAAUGGUUCCCGAACCAAAAUUUUGUUCGGGAUUAAAAGGGAAUCCGGUUUGAAUCCGGAGCUGUCCCCGCAACUGUAACCCCAUCCCGAGCAAUCGGGAUAGUGAUUUGCCCACCUCAUGCCAUUGUCCCGAUUGUUCGGGGUGAGAAGGCCGGCAAAUCCAGGGAAGCCAGGAGACCUGCCUCUUUCCUCUAGAUUCA
This 214-nucleotide non-coding RNA is filed under the name Indibacter alkaliphilus. The record is from RNAcentral. RNAcentral also lists the same sequence under 1 other name. Lineage: Bacteria; Pseudomonadati; Bacteroidota; Cytophagia; Cytophagales; Cyclobacteriaceae.